GCCAUCUGAUCCAAAGGACAAAGGUUGAGGCCUGAAGGCUGUUGUCUCCAGGCAGAAGAGAAAGGCCUCUAUCUGGAGGUCCUGCCCAUCCCCAGGAUGCCAUUCCCACAGACAUUUUUUUUAAAAAACUGUAAGAGGAGGUUCCUGGGACUGUGCCUCAGCUCAUACAGCGCUUGUCUAAUUUGCAUGAAGCCCUGAGUUCCAUCCCCAGCAACUGCUUAAAACCAGUGUGAUAUCACUGUGCUGUCAUUCCAGCACUGAACAGGUGGAGGCAGGAGCAUCAGAAGUUCAAAGGUAUUCUCAGCUACUGGCUCCAAGAUGCCUCCCAGACUUAAACAUGAGAGCCGCAGGCCAGCCCCAACACCUACUGAAAAGCCAGGUGAAGGAGACUGAGAGCUGAGCAUCCUUGCUUGAAUGUCAGGUUAGGACAGACUCAGGUCUCAAGCCAAAAGGAUGGCUCACUGAGGUCAGGAUGAGAAAGCACAGCUCCUUCUGAACCUGUGAAAAGACUUGCUAACUUGCUUGGAUUGGAUAUUAAUGUAAAAAGCUAACAGCAGAAGAGGGAACUUCAUUCAGGUCCUAAGAUGAUGGGCACAUGCCUACACAACCAGCCCUCUGGAUCCAUUUACCAGUUCAAAUGAGGAAAGACACAUACAGAGAAGACAAAAACACAAAGGAGUCUGUGACAGUUUGUCUAUGCUUGGCCCAGGGAGUGGCACUAUUAGAAAGUGUGGCCUUGUUGGAGUGGGU
This is a long non-coding RNA of Mus musculus (house mouse), 750 nucleotides long. RefSeq annotates it as predicted gene, 38446. The record is from RefSeq and is a predicted model, not a curated record. Lineage: Eukaryota; Metazoa; Chordata; Mammalia; Rodentia; Muridae. The transcript is spliced from 4 exons.